AACUUUAAAGCAAUUUUUUUUGUGUCAAGUUUCGGCCUUGAAGAAGAGCACUACCUCUAAAGUUA
Molecule: transfer RNA, 65 nt
Filed under: Galba pervia
Lineage: Eukaryota; Metazoa; Mollusca; Gastropoda; Lymnaeidae
Description: tRNA-Arg
Source: RNAcentral